This 415-nucleotide ribosomal RNA is filed under the name Prosorhynchoides sp. AGLO-2021. RNAcentral's name for it is "SSU rRNA". It matches the Rfam family "Eukaryotic small subunit ribosomal RNA", at positions 561 to 888 of the family's 1831-position model. Lineage: Eukaryota; Metazoa; Platyhelminthes; Trematoda. The record is from RNAcentral.
CUGGUGCCAGCAGCCGCGGUAACUCCAGCUCCAGAAGCGUAUAUUAAAGUUGUUGCAGUUAAAAAGCUCGUAGUUGGAUCUGGGUGGCAUGACUGCUUACCGUUGCCUGGCGGCUCGGUUUAUUGUAUAGACUGGGUUGGUCGGGUCGGUCUUGUGGUUGUGCAGCCUUUCUGCCGUGUCUGUUUCGACAGGUGUUGAUUGGGUUGAUGGGUUCUUCCUGUCGGCCCGUUGACAUGUUUCCAGGUGCCUUUAAUCGGGUGUCUGGGGCGGACGGCAUGUUUACUUUGAACAAAUUUGAGUGCUCAAAGCAGGCCCUUGUGCCUGAAAAGUCUUGCAUGGAAUAAUGGAAUAGGACUUCGGUUCUAUUUUGUUGGUUUUCGGAUCCGAAGUAAUGGUUAAGAGGGACAGACGGGGG